Molecule: ribosomal RNA, 565 nt
Filed under: uncultured bacterium
Lineage: Bacteria
Description: partial 16S ribosomal RNA
Rfam family: Bacterial small subunit ribosomal RNA
Source: RNAcentral
UGGGGAAUUUUGGACAAUGGCGAAAGCCUGAUCCAGCAAUGCCGCGUGUGUGAAGAAGGCCUUCGGGUUGUAAAGCACUUUUUGUCCGGAAAGAAAUCCUUGGCUCUAAUACAGUCGGGGGAUGACGGUACCGGAAGAAUAAGCACCGGCUAACUACGUGCCAGCAGCCGCGGUAAUACGUAGGGUGCAAGCGUUAAAAUCGGAAUUACUGGGCGUAAAGCGUGCGCAGGCGGUUUGCUAAGACCGAUGUGAAAUCCCCGGGCUCAACCUGGGAACUGCAUUGGUGACUGGCAGGCUAGAGUAUGGCAGAGGGGGGUAGAAUUCCACGUGUAGCAGUGAAAUGCGUAGAGAUGUGGAGGAAUACCGAUGGCGAAGGCAGCCCCCUGGGCCAAUACUGACGCUCAUGCACGAAAAGCGUGGGGAGCAAACAGGAUUAGAUACCCUGGUAGUCCACGCCCUAAACGAUGUCAACUAGUUGUUGGGAUUCAUUUCUUAGUAACGUAGCUAACGCGUGAAGUUGACCGCCUGGGGAGUACGGUCGCAAGAUUAAAACUCAAAGGAAUUG